GAUGAACGCUGGCGGCGUGCUUAACACAUGCAAGUCGAACGAUGAUGGGAGCUUGCUCCUGGAUUAGUGGCGAACGGGUGAGUAACACGUGAGUAACCUGCCCUUAACUCUGGGAUAAGCCUGGGAAACUGGGUCUAAUACCGGAUAUGACUCCUCAUCGCAUGGUGGGGGGUGGAAAGCUUUAUUGUGGUUUUGGAUGGACUCGCGGCCUAUCAGCUUGUUGGUGAGGUAAUGGCUUACCAAGGCGACGACGGGUAGCCGGCCUGAGAGGGUGACCGGCCACACUGGGACUGAGACACGGCCCAGACUCCUACGGGAGGCAGCAGUGGGGAAUAUUGCACAAUGGGCGCAAGCCUGAUGCAGCGACGCCGCGUGAGGGAUGACGGCCUUCGGGUUGUAAACCUCUUUCAGUAGGGAAGAAGCGAAAGUGACGGUACCUGCAGAAGAGGCGCCGGCUAACUACGUGCCAGCAGCCGCGGUAAUACGUAGGGCGCAAGCGUUAUCCGGAAUUAUUGGGCGUAAAGAGCUCGUAGGCGGUUUGUCGCGUCUGCCGUGAAAGUCCGGGGCUCAACUCCGGAUCUGCGGUGGGUACGGGCAGACUAGAGUGAUGUAGGGGAGACUGGAAUUCCUGGUGUAGCGGUGAAAUGCGCAGAUAUCAGGAGGAACACCGAUGGCGAAGGCAGGUC
Molecule: ribosomal RNA, 686 nt
Filed under: uncultured Actinomycetes bacterium
Lineage: Bacteria; Bacillati; Actinomycetota; Actinomycetes
Description: bacterial SSU rRNA
Rfam family: Bacterial small subunit ribosomal RNA
Source: RNAcentral